RNAcentral lists this small nuclear RNA (106 nucleotides) under Phocoena sinus (vaquita). Lineage: Eukaryota; Metazoa; Chordata; Mammalia; Artiodactyla; Phocoenidae. The record is from RNAcentral.
GUGCUCGCUUCGGCAGCACAUAUACUGAAGUUGGAACAAUCCAGAGAAGAUUACCAUGGCCCUGUGCAAGGAUGACACGCACGUUCGUGAAGUGUUCCAUAUCUUU